UCCCCUUCGGGGGGCAAGUAGAGUGGCGCACGGGUGAGUAACACGUAGGUAAUCUACCUUCGGGUGGGGAAUAACAACCGGAAACGGUUGCUAAUACCGCAUAAUGCAGCGGCACCUAAUGGUGACAGUUGUUAAAGCGGGGGAUCGAAAGAUCUCGCGCCUGAAGAGGAGCCUGCGGCGGAUUAGCUAGUUGGUAGGGUAACGGCCUACCAAGGCGACGAUCCGUAGCCGGCCUGAGAGGGCGGUCGGCCACACUGACACUGACAUACGGGUCAGACUCCUACGGGAGGCAGCAGUCGGGAAUUUUGGGCAAUGGGCGAAAGCCUGACCCAGCAACGCCGCGUGAAGGAUGAAAUCCCUCGGGAUGUAAACUUCGCAAGAACGGGAAGAAUAAGUCUAUGUUAGUACCAUAGGCGAUGACGGUACCGUUUGUAAGCUCCGGCUAACUCCGUGCCAGCAGCCGCGGUAAUACGGGGGGAGCAAGCGUUGUUCGGAUUUACUGGGCGUAAAGGGCGCGUAGGCGGCCACCGCAAGUCAGUUGUGAAAUCUCCGAGCUUAACUCGGAAAGGUCAACUGAUACUGCGGGGCUAGAGUGCGGAAGGGGCAACUGGAAUUCUUGGUGUAGCGGUGAAAUGCGUAGAUAUCAAGAGGAACACCUGCCGGCGAAGGCGGGUUGCUGGGCCGACACUGACGCUGAGGCGCGAAAGCUAGGGGAGCGAACGGGAUUAGAUACCCCGGUAGUCCUAGCCUUAAACGAUGAAUGCUUGGUGUCUGGGGUUAUAUAGUCCCCGGGUGCCGUCGCUAACGC
Molecule: ribosomal RNA, 808 nt
Filed under: uncultured Bacillota bacterium
Lineage: Bacteria; Bacillati; Bacillota
Description: bacterial SSU rRNA
Rfam family: Bacterial small subunit ribosomal RNA
Source: RNAcentral